GGGUCUGUAGCUUAACUGGUAAAGCAUCUACCUUGCAAGUAGAAAGAUAUGGGUUCAAGUCCCAUCAGUAUCCACUA
RNAcentral lists this transfer RNA (77 nucleotides) under Cyanobacteria bacterium UBA11049. RNAcentral describes it as "tRNA-Ala". It matches the Rfam family "tRNA". Rfam says of the family: Transfer RNA (tRNA) molecules are approximately 80 nucleotides in length. Lineage: Bacteria; Bacillati; Cyanobacteriota. The record is from RNAcentral.